This 1072-nucleotide ribosomal RNA is filed under the name Clonostachys rosea. Its description in RNAcentral is "SSU rRNA". It matches the Rfam family "Eukaryotic small subunit ribosomal RNA", at positions 71 to 1153 of the family's 1831-position model. The record is from RNAcentral. Lineage: Eukaryota; Fungi; Ascomycota; Sordariomycetes; Hypocreales; Bionectriaceae.
CAAUUAUACGGCGAAACUGCGAAUGGCUCAUUAUAUAAGUUAUCGUUUAUUUGAUAGUACCUUACUACUUGGAUAACCGUGGUAAUUCUAGAGCUAAUACAUGCUUAAAAUCCCGACUUCGGAAGGGAUGUAUUUAUUAGAUUAAAAACCAAUGCCCUUCGGGGCUCUCUGGUGAUUCAUGAUAACUUCUCGAAUCGCAUGGCCUUGCGCCGGCGAUGGUUCAUUCAAAUUUCUUCCCUAUCAACUUUCGAUGUUUGGGUAUUGGCCAAACAUGGUUGCAACGGGUAACGGAGGGUUAGGGCUCGACCCCGGAGAAGGAGCCUGAGAAACGGCUACUACAUCCAAGGAAGGCAGCAGGCGCGCAAAUUACCCAAUCCCGACUCGGGGAGGUAGUGACAAUAAAUACUGAUACAGGGUUCUUUUGGAUCUUGUAAUUGGAAUGAGUACAAUUUAAAUCCCUUAACGAGGAACAAUUGGAGGGCAAGUCUGGUGCCAGCAGCCGCGGUAAUUCCAGCUCCAAUAGCGUAUAUUAAAGUUGUUGUGGUUAAAAAGCUCGUAGUUGAACCUUGGGCCUGGCUGGCCGGUCCGCCUCACCGCGUGUACUGGUCCGGCCGGGCCUUUCCCUCUGUGGAACCCUAUGCCCUUCACUGGGUGUAGCGGGGAAACAGGACUUUUACUUUGAAAAAAUUAGAGUGCUCCAGGCAGGCCUUUGCUCGAAUACAUUAGCAUGGAAUAAUAAAAUAGGACGUGUGGUUCUAUUUUGUUGGUUUCUAGGACCGCCGUAAUGAUUAAUAGGGACAGUCGGGGGCAUCAGUAUUCAAUUGUCAGAGGUGAAAUUCUUGGAUUUAUUGAAGACUAACUACUGCGAAAGCAUUUGCCAAGGAUGUUUUCAUUAAUCAGGAACGAAAGUUAGGGGAUCGAAGACGAUCAGAUACCGUCGUAGUCUUAACCAUAAACUAUGCCGACUAGGGAUCGGACGAUGUUAAAAAUUGACUCGUUCGGCACCUUACGAGAAAUCAAAGUGCUUGGGCUCCAGGGGGAGUAUGGUCGCAAGGCUGAAACUUAAAGAAAU